Molecule: long non-coding RNA, 311 nt
Filed under: Mytilus galloprovincialis (Mediterranean mussel)
Lineage: Eukaryota; Metazoa; Mollusca; Bivalvia; Mytilida; Mytilidae
Source: RNAcentral
GUUCGUCCUACCCCCCGAACCCCCUCUGGCUACACGUAUGACAGCAGCAGGGAUUCAUUUGAACAUUGCAUGAUAUAUAGAUCUAGGCAUUACAGAAGGCUCUUCACCAGGUGCAUGUACAUAGAAAAUUAAGCUUUGUUAUGUAUGAAAUAAGCAUCAAAUUUGCAUAAAUCUAACACUAUCAAACUUCAUUCAAAUGGGUUUUUUUUCAUGACCCACUCCCUUCCUUUAUUAAUUUUAUGUUUAAUCAAAACAAUUAGUCAUAAAGCAAAUAGAAGCAACAAAGUCUUUACACGAAUGAUACAAUCCAC